UUGGCGGCCUUAAAACUUUUCAGAGGAACUCGUAUCUUAAUCCGAUAACCCCCGUUAAUUUUCUCUCCAAUUAAUGUAUUUAUAUCGCCGUCUACUAGAUAAAAAUUAAAUUUUUUAUCUAUUAAGAAUAACCUUUAAAGUCAGGUCGAGAUAAAGCUAAUAUUGAAGCGAGCCGAGUUACAAAUUUUUUUCAAUAACAUUUUCUUAUUUAAAAAUAAUUAGCCUCAGAAUUUGAAAGUAAUUUAAAAGUAAUUUUUCUUUAUGAAUUUCUUUAAAAGGCGUACAUAUCGCCCGUCACCCUCGUCCAAAGAUGAGGUAAGUCGUAACAAAGUUAAUAUACUGGAAAGUGUAUUAAGGG
This 358-nucleotide ribosomal RNA is filed under the name Megaphobema mesomelas. Its description in RNAcentral is "partial 12S ribosomal RNA". Lineage: Eukaryota; Metazoa; Arthropoda; Arachnida; Araneae; Theraphosidae. The record is from RNAcentral.